Molecule: non-coding RNA, 354 nt
Organism: Corylus avellana
Lineage: Eukaryota; Viridiplantae; Streptophyta; Magnoliopsida; Fagales; Betulaceae
Source: RefSeq, a predicted model, not a curated record
CUUUCAGGCAGCAAAAGUCCCUGUUAAAGAGUAUGAAUUUGAUCAAAAGAAGCUGGCUAAUGUGCAGUCUCACCUGGAAAAGUUGGUAGCCAAUAACUAUUUCUUGAAUGGGUCGGCUAAAGAAGCAUACAGAUCCUACAUAUUAGCAUAUAACUCUCACUCUAUGAAAGGAAUCUCAGACGUUCACCGCCUUGAUUUGCAGGCUGUUGCUGGUUCUUUCUGCUUUUCGAACCCACCAAAGGUGAACGUGAACAUACAUAGUUGUGCCUCAAAGUGCAGACAUAGGGAAGAAAAAAGGGUUUCAGUGAGAGCAACCCUUACGGAAGGCAGGGACAAUUUGUUGGCAUUAGCAGA